This is an RNA transcript of Malus domestica (apple), 1665 nucleotides long. RefSeq lists it as uncharacterized. The record is from RefSeq and is a predicted model, not a curated record. NCBI's taxonomy places the organism in Eukaryota, Viridiplantae, Streptophyta, Magnoliopsida, Rosales, Rosaceae.
CAGUUCGAGCUGCGAGCCCUUAAUAUAUUGUUAACUAUUGAACCAAAAUUGACAUCCUUUGUAAAAUAAAUCUUCUUAUUCACCAAAUCAAAAUUCAAUCUUGUUUUUUCCAAUCUUUCAAGAAAAUAUCAAUUGGAGCAAGUGGGUAGGAUUUGUUGUGUAGAAGGGCAGAACCGACAUUGUACAUUUCUCACAAUUCGUAUAUUAUCCCCAAGGUCGCUGUAUCUCUUUAAUAUAUUUACCAACCGGUCCUCUUGGACAAAUAGUUUUGUACGGCUAACGUGGCGCCACCGUGAGCUGCUUGAGACAGCGGCCUCAUCGUCCUCCUACCAAAACCGCGAUCGGAUUCAGCGGUUUCGGACCACUAAUCGGAGAAAUGGAGCUCCGCAGUAUCUGUAAUCCUCUGCGUCAUCUUCCUGUGCUCUCCAAUUGUUCCCAUCAAAUUAAAUCGUCCCGAAUUCGCAGCUUCUCAGUUCGGAGCUGCCGCUUAGACCCCAAUGAAUCACACAAGUUGCAGCUGGUUUUGGAAGUGAAGGAGAAGCUUGAGAAAGAUUAUCAGAGUCUUCCUGUAGGGAAAAAUGGAAGAGAUGAUGAAGAUAUGAUCCUAUGGUUUCUCAAGGACCGCAAGUUUUCAGUCGAAGAUGCUGUCGAAAGAUUGAAUAAAGCAAUCAAAUGGCGUCGAGAAUUCAGAGUGUCCGAAUUGUCUCAAGAUUCGGUGAAGGGUAUAGCCGAAACUGGAAAAGCUUACGUACAUGACUUUCUUGAUGUUAACGGCAGACCAGUUCUCAUAGUGGAUGCUUCUAAGCAUCUUCCUGCUGUGCAUGAUCCUGCUGAGAAUGAGAAGCUCUGCGUGUUUUUGAUUGAGAAGGCAUUGAGUGCCCUUCCAGAAGGGAGCGAAGAAAUACUAGGAAUAUUCAAUCUACGAGCGUUUGGUAGAGAAAAUGCAGAUUUAGAUUUCAUUACAUUUUUGUUUGAUGUUUUCUACUACUAUUAUCCAAAGCGAUUGGGCCAAGUCCUCUUCGUGGAAGCUCCAUUUAUAUUCAAGCCAAUUUGGCAGCUCGCCAAACCGUUGUUAAAAUCUUAUUCUUCGCUGGAGGAGGAGGAGGAUAUACGACAGAGUUCUUAAAGCUUUUGCUUUAAGAAACUUCUCCACCUAUUUGCAUAAGAGAAAAAGAAAAAGGAGAAUAAAUAAAAAACCGAUGUAGCAUUACAAACCAGAAGCAUGCUUUGCCUCAAAUAUCCUUACUCCGUGACCUUGAGCAGACUGUUGGAAGUUUUUUACUAGAGUUCUUAAAGUUUUCUCUUCAAUGCAGCCUCCCUACCGUGAGGUUUUGCUCCGUGGAGACCGUCAGAAAGGAGUAUUUUACAGAAGCGACGGUGCCUGCUAAAUUUAGAGACUGAGAAAUGUCACUCGACAAGAAGUGUCGUGCUUUUGAGUUUCGGUAUUUAGCAAAGGCGUCGUGCUUUUGGCUAUGGAUAUUAUUUGUUUUGAGUUCGAUUUCUCUGUCUCGCCUCGAUUAUUGAAAAAAGAAAAAUAAAGAGUCCCCUCAACCUGAGCGUUAACUCAAAUGGUUGUGAACAUAUUUGCACUAAAGAUUUUGAUUUCGAUUUCACCCUCACUUUGCUUAUAUUGAAAUAAAACGAAAAAAAAACCACCUAACUUUA